CGAUAGAUGGCGGCGAUGUAUCGCGUACUGUCAGAGGAAAUCCGGUGUUUCCGGCUAAAUUUCAACAUGCCUGUAAAAUGUGUUGCUAUUGUUGAAUCUUUAAAAAAUUAAGCAAGAACUUGGGGUAAAGUUUCGGGGUUGCAUUCGGUUGAGGUAGUUGCCAGAUCGGCCAAAUUACUUUACAAUCAAUAAAGAGGCUGCAAGACUGAUACUAGUCCAAGAACCUUAUACAGAAAGCCUUUAAACAGAGCACCUCCCGGACUAAGAGUGAAUACCGGAAUGUUGUAACAGAAAAGCUUUAUGAGAAAGUGGCCAAAAACCUGCCUGACAAGAGAAGCCAAAUUCAGAAGGGAAGCCAAUCAUGAGUAGCCUAGUUGUAGAGCAGAACAGUGUCCCAGCAAUCAAGGCGACCACGGCGAUGAAGGCGAUCUCUCGGCAGCGGUCCAAUCGAUUCAGCCCAAGUACCCUGGAGCUUCGGAAAUGGCCACGUUUAACACGCUGCAAUCUUUAAAGGAUCUCCAUGGGUCGCUGAAGGGCUGCCGACGAUCCGGAUGGCAAAAUGCCAAAAGCAUGCCCUGGCUUCGCGUGAGAAUUAGAGUCCACGUGGCGGCAUUUUGGCCGAUGAUAUGGGCUUAAGCAAGACCCUGAAAAUGAUUUCAGGAGAGCAAAGUGAAGGAGAGAAGGGUACAAACGGAAAAGCACUGGUGGAUGGAAUUCGAAGGGCCGAAAAACUCAUCUUGGUGGCACCUUAGUCAUGUGCCCGGCUAGCUUGCUGCGCCAGUGGGAGGCAAAUGGUCAUCAUGGCAACAAGCACUAGACAAAGGCCAAACAAAAUCGUGGGUCAAGAGCAUAAGAAGUCGAGUUAUCGACGUUUACUAAGACUACAAGAAACAAGAGCAACAGAACCAUCCGCAGCUGAAAAGAAAAUUAAACAGUAUGCCCUGCAAGGAUUUGCGUAUAAUUGAAAUUUCCCUUAUCUUUUUGGUUCACAAUGUUAAAAUUAGCUUAAAGUAUUUGGUUUUAAGCAUUAUAUGUAUAUCUGCUCCUUUUCCCACAGCCAUAAUAUUUACGCGCCAAAAUUUGAUUUUUAAUCUAGGUUUCGCUGUUGCUGGCGAUAGUUUACACAACAGGGAAGAAAUAUUCGGAAAAUCGAUUUUGAUUAUGAGUUGGGCGGUAUUUUAGAUAAAUAUGUCCGCGGUCCCACUGAUUUUCUUGCCAGUUUGGACACCAUGUUAUACUUUUCAUAGUAUUUUCUAAAAUUUUCCAGUAUAUUUGAAGACGCGUUUUGGCCACAUUCUCUUUUUCAAUGCACCAAUGUAGAAAUCAUGUAGAAAUGCUGAGGGUAUAUUUACGGUAUAUAAUGGUAUAUUUUGCCAGUUUCAUCAAUCUAUUAAAUUUAAAUUAAGCCAA
This is a long non-coding RNA of Drosophila pseudoobscura, 1410 nucleotides long. RefSeq lists it as uncharacterized. The transcript has 4 exons. NCBI's taxonomy places the organism in Eukaryota, Metazoa, Arthropoda, Insecta, Diptera, Drosophilidae. The record is from RefSeq and is a predicted model, not a curated record.